GGAUUGGCUUUAGCUCAAGUGGUUACUUCCUUACUUUCCAUCUGUCUAAUCCCUGUGCUUGGGUUCAAGACCUGCCAGGGCUUUCUGACCUUUAA
Molecule: unclassified non-coding RNA, 95 nt
Organism: Cercocebus atys (sooty mangabey)
Lineage: Eukaryota; Metazoa; Chordata; Mammalia; Primates; Cercopithecidae
Gene: Vault
Rfam family: Vault RNA
About the family: This family of RNAs are found as part of the enigmatic vault ribonucleoprotein complex. The complex consists of a major vault protein (MVP), two minor vault proteins (VPARP and TEP1), and several small untranslated RNA molecules. It has been suggested that the vault complex is involved in drug resistance.
Source: Ensembl